Molecule: ribosomal RNA, 396 nt
Filed under: Scolopendra cretica
Lineage: Eukaryota; Metazoa; Arthropoda; Chilopoda; Scolopendromorpha; Scolopendridae
Description: partial small subunit ribosomal RNA
Source: RNAcentral
AACUAGGNAUUAGAUACCCUAUUAUAUAUUCCAUUAAAGUGUUUUUCUGUAGGAUUAUUAGUGAUCUAUAAAUUAAAAGAAUUUGGCGGUGUAUUAGACAUUUUAGAGGAACUUGUAUUUUAAUCGAUAAUCCACGAGGAUCUGACCUAUGCUUGUAUUAUCAGCUUGUAUACCGUUGUUUGCAGAUUAUAUAUGUGAAAUAUAUUCGUAAUAAAUAAAUUUAAUAAGUCAAAUCAAGGUGCAGUAUAUGUAUGGGUUAAUAUGAGUUACAAUGAAAUUAAUUUAUGCGGAUUGAUGGUUGAAUAAUUAUCAUUAAGGUGGAUUUAAUUGUAAGUUUUAACGAAUAAUUAAGGUUGAAUUUGCUCUGAUACAUGUACACAUCGCCCGUCGCACUUA